This 449-nucleotide ribosomal RNA is filed under the name uncultured bacterium. RNAcentral's name for it is "bacterial SSU rRNA". It matches the Rfam family "Bacterial small subunit ribosomal RNA", at positions 355 to 796 of the family's 1533-position model. The record is from RNAcentral.
UGGGGAAUAUUGGACAAUGGGCGCAAGCCUGAUCCAGCAACGCCGCGUGGAGGAUGAAGGUCUUCGGAUCGUAAACUCCUGUCAGAUGGGACGAAGGCUUGGUUGCAAACAGUGGUCAAGUUUGACGGUACCAUCAGAGGAAGCCCCGGCUAACUCCGUGCCAGCAGCCGCGGUAAUACGGAGGGGGCGAGCGUUAUUCGGAAUUAUUGGGCGUAAAGGGCGCGUAGGCGGCUCUAUAAGUCAAAGGUGAAAUCCCUCGGCUCAACUGAGGAACUGCCUUUGAAACUGUUGGGCUUGAGGCCGGGAGAGGGUAGUGGAAUUCCCAGUGUAGCGGUGAAAUGCGUAGAUACUGGGAGGAACACCAGUGGCGAAGGCGGCUACCUGGACCGGUACUGACGCUGAUGCGCGAAAGCGUGGGUAGCAAACAGGAUUAGAUACCCCUGUAGUCC